Molecule: ribosomal RNA, 534 nt
Filed under: uncultured archaeon
Lineage: Archaea
Description: bacterial SSU rRNA
Rfam family: Archaeal small subunit ribosomal RNA
Source: RNAcentral
ACGGGUUGUGAGAGCAAGAGCCCGGAGACGGUAUCUGAGACAAGAUACCGGGCCCUACGGGGCGCAGCAGGCGCGAAACCUUUACACUGCACGAACGUGCGAUAAGGGGACUCCAAGUGCGAGGGCAUACAGUCCUCGCUUUUCCCUACCGUAAGGUGGUAGGUGAAUAAGAGCUGGGCAAGACCGGUGCCAGCCGCCGCGGUAAUACCGGCAGCUCGAGUGAUGGCCAAUAUUAUUGGGCCUAAAGCGUCCGUAGCUGGCCGAACAGGUCCGUCGGGAAAUCCGCCCGCUCAACGGGCGGACGUCCGGCGGAAACCAGUCGGCUUGGGACCGGAAGACCCGAGGGGUACGUCCAGGGUAGGAGUGAAAUCCCGUAAUCCUGGACGGACCACCGGUGGCGAAAGCGCCUCGGGAGGACGGAUCCGACAGUGAGGGACGAAAGCUUGGGUCACGAACCGGAUUAGAUACCCGGGUAGUCCAAGCUGUAAACGAUGCUCGCUAGGUGUGGCACUGGCUACGAGCCAGUGCUGUGCC